Molecule: ribosomal RNA, 464 nt
Filed under: uncultured bacterium
Lineage: Bacteria
Description: partial 16S ribosomal RNA
Rfam family: Bacterial small subunit ribosomal RNA
Source: RNAcentral
GACGAACGCUGGCGGCGUGCUUAACACAUGCAAGUCGAACGGAAAGGCCCUGCUUGCAGGGUACUCGAGUGGCGAACGGGUGAGUAACACGUGGGUGAUCUGCCCUGCACUUCGGGAUAAGCCUGGGAAACUGGGUCUAAUACCGGAUAGGAGCCAUUUUUAGUGUGAUGGUUGGAAAGUUUUUUCGGUGUAGGGUGAGCUCGCGGCCUAUCAGCUUGUUGGUGGGGUAAUGGCCUACCAAGGCGGCGACGGGUAGCCGGCCUGAGAGGGUGGACGGCCACAUUGGGACUGAGAUACGGCCCAGACUCCUACGGGAGGCAGCAGUGGGGAAUAUUGCACAAUGGGCGCAAGCCUGAUGCAGCGACGCCGCGUGGGGGAUGACGGCCUUCGGGUUGUAAACUCCUUUCGCUAGGGACGAAGCUUUUUGGGACGGGACCUAGAUAAGAAGCACCGGCGAACUACGU